CCUACGGGAGGCAGCAGUGGGGAAUAUUGCACAAUGGGCGCAAGCCUGAUGCAGCCAUGCCGCGUGUGUGAAGAAGGCCUUCGGGUUGUAAAGCACUUUCAGCGGGGAGGAAGGCGGUAAGGUUAAUAACCUUAUCGAUUGACGUUACCCGCAGAAGAAGCACCGGCUAACUCCGUGCCAGCAGCCGCGGUAAU
Molecule: ribosomal RNA, 194 nt
Filed under: uncultured bacterium
Lineage: Bacteria
Description: partial 16S ribosomal RNA
Rfam family: Bacterial small subunit ribosomal RNA
Source: RNAcentral